This 465-nucleotide ribosomal RNA is filed under the name uncultured bacterium. Its description in RNAcentral is "partial 16S ribosomal RNA". It matches the Rfam family "Bacterial small subunit ribosomal RNA", at positions 338 to 795 of the family's 1533-position model. The record is from RNAcentral.
CCUACGGGUGGCAGCAGUGGGGAAUUUUGCGCAAUGCUCGUAAGAGUGACGCAGCGACGCCGCGUGAAUGACGAAGGCCUUCGGGUCGUAAAGUUCUUUCGACAGGGAAGAAAAUGCCUAUAAGUAACUGUGUAUGUAUUGACGGUACCUGUAUAAGCAGCCCCGGCGAACUCCGUGCAAGCAGCCGCGGUAAUACGGAGGGGGCGAGCGUUGUUCGGAAGGGUUGGGGGUAAAGACCACAUAGGCGUUGUUGUAAGUCAUUAGUCAAAGACUAGAGCUCAACUUUAGUAAGGCUAGUGAUAAGAUAAUACUAGAGUAUCAGAGAGGAUUGCAGAAUGCCUGGUGUAGCAGUGAAAUGCGUAGAUAUCAGGAGGAAUACCGUUAGCGAAGGCGGCAAUCUGGCUGGAAACUGACGCUGAGGUGCGAAAGCGUGGGUAGCAAACAGGAUUAGAUACCCGGGUAGUC